RNAcentral lists this ribosomal RNA (408 nucleotides) under uncultured bacterium. RNAcentral's name for it is "partial 16S ribosomal RNA". It matches the Rfam family "Bacterial small subunit ribosomal RNA", at positions 29 to 526 of the family's 1533-position model. The record is from RNAcentral.
AGUGAACGCUGGCGGCGUGCCUAAUACAUGCAAGUCGAACGGAGUGGCGCACGCGUGAGUAAUGUAUAGCUAAUCUGCCCUACACUAGAGGACAACCGUUGGAAACCGCUGCUAAUACCCUAAAGUGUAGGAUGAGGCUAUAUUGUAUCAGCGAGUUGGGGAGGUAAUGGCUCACCAAGGCUAUGACGCAUAACUGGGCUGAGAGGAUGAUCUGUGGCACUGUAACUGAGACACGGUCCAGACUCCGACGGGAGGCAGCAGUAGGCAAUAGUGCUCAAGGGGGGAAACCCGGAAGCAGCAACGCCGCGUGGAGGAUGACACUUUUCGGAGCGUAAACUCCUUUUGUUAGGGAUGCGGUACCUAACGAAUAAGCACCGGCUAACUCCGUGCCAGCAGCCGCGGUAAUUC